This 1211-nucleotide ribosomal RNA is filed under the name metagenome. Its description in RNAcentral is "bacterial SSU rRNA". It matches the Rfam family "Bacterial small subunit ribosomal RNA", at positions 300 to 1498 of the family's 1533-position model. The record is from RNAcentral.
GUGAUCGGCCACAUUGGGACUGAGAUACGGCCCAGACUCCUACGGGAGGCAGCAGUAGGGAAUUUUGCGCAAUGGACGAAAGUCUGACGCAGCGACGCCGCGUGAGCGAUGAAGGUCUUCGGAUUGUAAAGCUCUGUUGGGUGGGAAGAAAACCCUUUGGGAGAAUAUCCCUGAGAUUUGACGGUACCACUCGAGGAAGCCCCGGCUAACUACGUGCCAGCAGCCGCGGUAAUACGUAGGGGGCAAGCGUUGUUCGGAAUCACUGGGCGUAAAGGGAGUGUAGGCGGGGAGGUAAGUUAGAAGUUAAAUACACAGGCUCAACUUGUGGUCUGCUUUUAAUACUGCCUUUCUUGAGUAUGGGAGAGGGUGAUGGAAUUCCAGGUGUAGCGGUGGAAUGCGUAGAUAUCUGGAAGAACACCAGUUGGAAGGCGGUCACCUGGCCCAAUACUGACGCUGAGGCUCGAAAGCUAGGGGAGCGAACAGGAUUAGAUACCCUGGUAGUCCUAGCCGUAAACGAUGGAUACUAGUUGCUGGAGGAGUCAAUACUUUCAGUGACGAAGCUAACGCAUUAAGUAUCCCGCCUGGGGAGUACGCUCGCAAGGGUGAAACUCAAAGGAAUUGACGGGGGCCCGCACAAGCGGUGGAGCAUGUGCUUCAAUUCGAUGCAACGCGAAGAACCUUACCUGGGUUUGACAUGGGAGUGAAAGCCACCAGAGAUGGAGGCCCUUCCGCAAGGAACAUUCCACACAGGUGCUGCAUGGUUGUCGUCAGCUCGUGUCGUGAGAUGUUGGGUUAAGUCCCGCAACGAGCGCAACCCCUACCCUUAGUUGCCAUCAGGUAAAGCUGGGAACUCUAAGGGGACUGCCUGUCGUAAACAGGAGGAAGGUGGGGAUGACGUCAAAUCAUCAUGGCCCUUACAUCCAGGGCUAGACACGUGCUACAAUGGCUGGUACAGAGGGAUGCGAACCUGCGAGGGUAAGCUAAUCCCUGAAAACCAGUCUCAGUCCGGAUUGGAGUCUGCAACUCGACUCCAUGAAGUUGGAAUCGCUAGUAAUCGCGGAUCAGCAUGCCGCGGUGAAUACGUUCCCGGGCCUUGUACACACCGCCCGUCAAGCCAUGAAAGACGGUAGUGCCCGAAGUCGUGCGCCCAACCGCAAGGGGGGCAGCGCCGAAGGUAAGACCGUUGAUUGGGGCUAAGUCGUAACAAGGUA